AGUGCUUGAAACUUUGAUGCAUAAGAUCCAAUCGAUUCAUUGUUGUCCAUUUGCAGUAAUUCAUACUGCCUCCUCAAUGAUUGUAGUUUCACAGCUUUCACCUUUUCUCCACCAUCAUAAUACUUCACCAAGAUAUCUCAUGCUUCUUUAGAUGUUUCAGCAUGAGAGAUCUUAUCAAAAUUUGCCGAAUUCAGUGCAGCCUGAAUUGCAUAUAUUGCCUUGCAAUCUUUCUUCUUCAAAUCUUUGUGAUUGUUUCUUGCCUCUGCAUUUGCAUUUGCAAGUAAUGCUGCAACACCAUUAAUCACCACAUCUAGUGUAUCUUG
RNAcentral lists this long non-coding RNA (323 nucleotides) under Trifolium pratense (red clover). RNAcentral describes it as "long non-coding RNA (TPRA_LNC005337)". Lineage: Eukaryota; Viridiplantae; Streptophyta; Magnoliopsida; Fabales; Fabaceae. The record is from RNAcentral.